Molecule: long non-coding RNA, 1707 nt
Filed under: Bemisia tabaci
Lineage: Eukaryota; Metazoa; Arthropoda; Insecta; Hemiptera; Aleyrodidae
Description: lncRNA ENSSSA1NGG011207
Source: RNAcentral
UUCAUAAAAUCUUUGCUCUCAUCUCUUUAUUGACAUCAACAACGAAUAAACAUUUUCAGAUUUUUUUUUUACUUGGAAAAUGAAAACCACAGAAAUAUUCAAUAAUGACUGAGAAGUUUUUCAUUUAGGAAAGAGUGUCUCUCUUUCUCUUUCUUCAGGUAAGGAAGUCUGCAACGUCACAGAUUGAGGUGCAUAGAUUCUGAGUUUAUAACCUUCAUUUUUAUUAUGUCCCUCAUGUAUUGUGUGACUCUUUUUCAAUUUGGUAUUUUUUGUUCUAUUCUAACUUUUUUCUCUUACUCAUUCUAGCUCAUUCUCAGAUACACUAGCUGGAUUUUACCUACUGUCCCGUACUAACUUUGCUUUGGAAUCAUGGAAAAUAAACAGUGUUCUAUUGAUGAUGAUCAUCCUCCUCCUUUGCGCAGACCUCUCCAAAGCAUCGAAAAUCUGCCUUCACAACAUGAGGUUCCGCAACAAAUGCAGCUCCCGCAACCCAUGCAGCUCCUACAAUCCAUGCAGCUCCAGCAACCCAUGCAGUUCCCUCAACCCUUGCAACGCGCGCAAUCCAUGCAGCUCCUUCGACAAGGGCAAGAGAGAAAAGUGAGCAGUUAAGCCAUCAUUUUCAUCUUGCAGCUGUUGCAGAAUUAUUUUAAUUAUUAUUCUUUGUUUUAUACUUUCGAAUAGAAAAAUUGUCUAAUUUUUUACAAUGUGUACAAUGGCCAAAGAAAUAAAUCAUUAUUUAAAAAAAAAAUUUAGUCUUUGUCAUGAUUUUCUUACUUUAAAACUCACACCGAGCCGUGAAGAAAGUGAUAUAGAAUACAGUGUUGUUUUGAAGUAAAAACCACAAAAACUCCAGCAACUUUUGAUAUUAAUGACAUCCCACAAUCUUUAGCCUCCUUCAAAAUUGGGUCUCAUUUCUGAGUACCUUCUACCCUUUGCAGGCUUUCAUAGUACCUAGCACAGAUUCUAGGAAAAGUUGAAAAAAGUUGUGAAUGUCACAUUCUCUUAAAAAGUAUGUAAGUCCGCUCACUUUUUCAUUUUCAUAUUAUUUUCAUACACUUUUAUACAGUUUUUAACAAUUUGUGCAUUCGAUAUUUUCUCUAAUUUUUCAUAAAGUAUUCACUACAUAUUUUAGGCAGCUGUAGGCAAAGUAGACAAUCAAGAAGUGGAUGUGUGAAUAAAAAUUUACCUACCAAGUCCUUACGAGUACCUACAUCUUAUACUGUUCAUGUCAAAAAUUCGAGAGUAUUGGCAGAUUCUGUUCACUUGAAUAAUAAUUUUAAUGUUCCAUAAUUAUUUUCCAUUUUAAUUGAUAAUUUUUAUCAAAAUUUUCACAAGUCUAUGGUACUAGGGAUGGAAAUUAUUAUUACUAAAGUUUUAUAAUUCUCUUCAUGGACUUAUUUAAGUACUAAAAAUAACAGAAAGAUAAAAGCAGAUUCCUGUAUACUCCCUCCGUAGCGUCUCUCCCAUUGGGUAGAAGAUUCAUAUUAAAAGCCAGGUUCUCCUUCAUUCUUACAUGAUGCAAUAAUGAUUACACGCAGGUCGGAAUAAUAAAAUCGCAUGGUCGUCCUGAAACCAGUGAGAGGGUAUUACCUAACUGCCUCCAACAAAUAUGCAAUAAUGAGGAUUCCACGAAAAUGAGGAUAUUUUUCGGCGCCGAAUUUGAAAACCUCUCAUGUCGCCGCUAAAAGUUGAAAGUUGGGCCUUUAA